GCGUAGCUAUAAACUUUGAUGAGCUAUUACAUUAUCAUUCGCCAGGGUACUACGAGCACCAGCUUAAAACCCAAAGGACUUGGCGGUGCUUUAGACCCACCUAGAGGAGCCUGUUCUGGAACCGAUAACCCCCGUUAAACCUCACCCUCCCUUGUUCUUUCCGCCUAUAUACCGCCGUCGUCAGCUUACCCUGUGAAGGACAAAUAGUAAGCAGAACCAGUAGCACUCAAAACGUCAGGUCGAGGUGUAGCAUAUGAGAGGGGAAGAAAUGGGCUACAUUCCUUGCUUCAAGGAAAACGGAUAAUAUAAUGAAAAGUAUAUUAGAAGGAGGAUUUAGCAGUAAGCAGAAAAUAGAGAGUUCUGCUGAAACUGGCCCUGAAGCGCGC
This 386-nucleotide ribosomal RNA is filed under the name Oryzias latipes (Japanese medaka). RNAcentral's name for it is "partial 12S ribosomal RNA". It matches the Rfam family "Bacterial small subunit ribosomal RNA", at positions 794 to 1384 of the family's 1533-position model. The record is from RNAcentral. Lineage: Eukaryota; Metazoa; Chordata; Actinopteri; Beloniformes; Adrianichthyidae.